RNAcentral lists this small RNA (576 nucleotides) under Pan troglodytes (chimpanzee). RNAcentral describes it as "retained intron". Lineage: Eukaryota; Metazoa; Chordata; Mammalia; Primates; Hominidae. The record is from RNAcentral.
GGUGAGUGCGGUGGGGGUGGCGGGCGCCGGGCCGGGGCUGAGGUUGCGGUCGCUCCUCUGGGGGAUGCGGCCCGGCCCGGGAGGGAGAACCGCGGCUCGGGAACGGAGGUCCGGCGGCGCCCGGACAGCGUCCGUUCCCAAGCCCAGCCCGCGGCGAGCGCCCACCCCCUAACCCCCUUGCAGGCAUGGAGGAACCUGCAUGGACACGGAGGCCGAGACUGUGGCUACUGAGGCUCCCCCGCGGCCCGUCAACUGCCUGGAGGCCGAAGCCGCGGCGGGGGCGGCGGCCGAGGACUCCGGCGCCGCACGAGGCAGCCUGCAGCCGGCCCCGGCCCAGCCCCCUGGGGACCCCGCAGCCCAGGCCUCGGUCAGCAACGGCGAAGACGCGGGCGGCGGCGCGGGCAGGGAGCUGGUGGACUUGAAGAUCAUCUGGAACAAGACCAAGCAUGACGUGAAGUUCCCCCUGGACAGCACAGGCUCCGAGCUGAAACAGAAGAUCCACUCGAUUACAGGUCUCCCGCCUGCCAUGCAGAAAGUCAUGUAUAAGGGACUCGUCCCCGAGGAUAAAACAUUGAG